Molecule: long non-coding RNA, 871 nt
Organism: Capsicum annuum
Lineage: Eukaryota; Viridiplantae; Streptophyta; Magnoliopsida; Solanales; Solanaceae
Exons: 2
Source: RefSeq, a predicted model, not a curated record
CAACACUUCUCCUCUUCAAUAAUUUUUCUUUUCCUAUUACUCCCCUAAACUAAUUAAAAUCGUAAUUUUGAUAACCUUAGUACCUACGUGGCACAACACGCUAAAGGGUCCACGUAGGCACACAUGUGUGCCACGUAUGUGCCAUCUAUUUUUUUCUAUGAAAAUGUAUUAUGAAUCAGUUAGAUAAAACUGUAUCUACAUCACCAUUUUGAAAUUAAAUUUAUUUUGUCUAUUUUUUUUUAAUUUCAAAAAAUAAGAUAAUUAUUAAUUAAUCAAAAAAAUAUGAAUAUGUUAGUAAAAAGGGUGUAACUAUACAAUUUCAUAGACGGCAAAGAAGAGAAAAAGAAGAUUACCAAGCAGAUAAUUGAAGCAAUAGAUGAGGGGAAAAAGGUGGUCAGAUUCAAAGAAUUUGAAGGAGAUUUAGUGGAUAAAUAUGAUAACUGGAAGGCAACUCUUCAUAUCAAGCAAAAAGGUGAAAUCAAUUUGGUAUGCUGGACAAUGGAGUAUGAAAGGCCAAAUGAGAAUGCUCCUGAACUAAUAAAUUUGCUGGACUUCCUUGUUGGUAUGACCAAAGCUAUUGAUGAUCACCAUGUUAAGAUGAAUUAAUGGAAUUAAGCUAAUGCUUGCUAGGUGUGCGCUUGAAAUAAAUACCUCAUGUUGUGUUGGAAGGUGUGGAGGAUGAAGAUUACGGGUUAGAGGGUUAGAGGGUGGGAGGGUGUCGGUGACAGCAGGGGAGUGUUCUGUAUUUGUAUCUGAAGUUUCUCGUUCAUAGUUGUCUAUGGUUUGAUCAGAUUUAUAGUUUUAGUAUUAUGUUGUGGCUAGCACUGUUAGUUUAUUCUGCAAAUGGUACAAGUUUAUAUGCAUUCAUGUA